AUUGAACGCUGGCGGCAUGCCUAACACAUGCAAGUCGAACGGCAGCACAGCCGUAGCAAUACGGUGGGUGGCGAGUGGCGGACGGGUGAGUAAAGCAUCGGGACCUACCCAGACGUGGGGGAUAACCUCGGGAAACCGGGACUAAUACCGCAUACGUCCUACGGGAGAAAGCGGGGGACCUUCGGGCCUCGCGCGGUUGGACGGACCGAUGUGCGAUUAGCUAGUUGGUAGGGUAAUGGCCUACCAAGGCGACGAUCGCUAGCUGGUCUGAGAGGAUGAUCAGCCACACUGGGACUGAGACACGGCCCAGACUCCUACGGGAGGCAGC
This 328-nucleotide ribosomal RNA is filed under the name uncultured Rhodanobacter sp. RNAcentral describes it as "bacterial SSU rRNA". It matches the Rfam family "Bacterial small subunit ribosomal RNA", at positions 29 to 352 of the family's 1533-position model. Lineage: Bacteria; Pseudomonadati; Pseudomonadota; Gammaproteobacteria; Lysobacterales; Rhodanobacteraceae. The record is from RNAcentral.